UACGGAUAGAGCAAGUGUUAUUUAUCGGAACUAGGCAUAAAGGGCCCUCAGGCGGUUUAUAAUAAUUUAUUCAUAAAAUCCUAGGCGUUAUCCCUAGUAUUAUGUCUAAUAAUUAUAAGCUAGAUUAUAUUGGAAGUACUUCAUACUUAUAGUGUAAAGGUGAAAUGUGUUAAAAUUAUAGGGAUGACCUUACAGUGAUUACUUAGUACUAUUAUAUAAUGACGCUAACCGGCGAAAGAUAUUGGCACAAAAGGGAAUUGAUACCCCAGUAGUAAUAUCCGUCAACGAUGAGCGUCCGGUCGAUAUACUAUUGAGUAGUGUCGUCGAAAGUUUAUGCAAAAACGCUCCGCCUAGGAACUACAAACGCAAGUUUGAAACUUAAAGGAAUUGGCGGAAAGAUCUACCAGCUGUGGAUCAUAUGAUUCAAUCCGAUUCACCGCGUCAAAUCUUACCUGUUCUAGCAAGUGUCAUUUUUUUUACUACUACCCGUAGUAUUUUUGUUAAACCUUUAGUAUGUCUAUAUUUACUUUUUUAAUCUUAUGUUUGUCUAAGGUUUUUCUUACAAAUGCUCUUCAGGUGGUGCAUGGCUGUCUUCAAUUCGUGUUUUGAUAUGUUAGGUUAAGUCCUUUUAACGAAUGUAACCCCUCGGCUUAUUUUACUUAGUAGAGGCGUAUCCUCUAUUAUCUUAAGUCUACUAAUAGUUCGUGCUAUAUGAAGGUUGGGAUCAGGUCAAGUCGUUAUGCCCUUUAUGGACAGGGCUAUCCAUAUGAUACAAUGGCAUUUACAAUAAGUCGCUUCGGUUUAUACCUUUAGCUAAUCUGAAAAAUUGCCUAAGUUCGAAUUGUAGUCUGAAACUUGGCUACAUAAAGGUGAAAUAGCUAGUAAUCGCUUAUCAUCAUGAAGCGGUGAAUUUGUCUUUCUUU
RNAcentral lists this ribosomal RNA (923 nucleotides) under uncultured bacterium. RNAcentral's name for it is "partial 16S ribosomal RNA". It matches the Rfam family "Bacterial small subunit ribosomal RNA", at positions 524 to 1381 of the family's 1533-position model. The record is from RNAcentral.